RNAcentral lists this ribosomal RNA (465 nucleotides) under uncultured bacterium. RNAcentral's name for it is "partial 16S ribosomal RNA". It matches the Rfam family "Bacterial small subunit ribosomal RNA", at positions 28 to 507 of the family's 1533-position model. The record is from RNAcentral.
GACGAACGCUGGCGGCGUGCUUAACACAUGCAAGUCGAACGGAAAGGCCCCUUUGGGGGUACUCGAGUGGCGCACGGGUGAGUAACACGUGAGUAACCUGCCCUUGACUUCGGGAUAACUUCAGGAAACUGGGGCUAAUACCGGAUAGGAAUCCUUGCUGCAUGGUGGGGGUUGGAAAGCUUCGGCGGUUUUGGAUGGACUCGCGGCUUAGCAGCUUGUUGGUGGGGUAGUGGCUUACCAAGGCUUUGACGGGUAGCCGGCCUGAGAGGGCGACCGGCCACAGUGGGACUGAGAGACGGCCCAGACUCCUACGGGAGGCAGCAGUGGGGAAUAUUGCACAAUGGGCGGAAGCCUGAUGCAGCAACGCCGCGUGCGGGAUGACGGCCUUCGGGUUGUAAACCGCUUUCAGCAGGGGCGAAGCUUGUGGUGACGGUACCUGCAGAAGAAGCACCGGCUAACUACGUG